AGCGGGAGGGAGGCAGAAACCUGGAGGCAGAAAGUGGAGACGGACCUGAGCCCGAGGAAGAGGCAGGCAGAGGCUGAGGCAGAUUCCACCCCAGCCUGCCCGGACAACCCUCCUUAGCCGCAACCCCUUCCAGUUCCCUAGGGGUUCUGCCCCUCCCCCUCUCUGGGGCACCAGGCCCCCAGGGCCCUGCAUCCCACCAUGUCGAUGGCUGUGGAAACCUUUGGCUUCUUCAUGGCAGCCGUGGGGCUGCUGAUGCUGGGGGUGACUCUGCCAAACAGCUACUGGCGAGUGUCCACCGUGCACGGGAACGUCAUCACCACCAACACCAUCUUCGAGAACCUCUGGUUUAGCUGUGCCACCGACUCCCUGGGCGUCUACAACUGCUGGGAGUUCCCGUCCAUGCUGGCCCUCUCUGGCUCCACAGACUCCCCAGCCUCACUGUCGGGGGGACACUGGUCUCCUUGUCCGGCUGAUGUCUAAAGGGCCCCCGUGAAGGGAGGCGUCUUGCAAGUUGCAGGUUGAACGUCUGCUGUAAGGAGGCGGUGUGUGUGCAGGGUAUAUUCAGGCCUGCCGGGCACUCAUGAUCACCGCCAUCCUCCUGGGCUUCCUCGGCCUCUUGCUAGGCAUAGCGGGCCUGCGCUGCACCAACAUUGGGGGCC
RNAcentral lists this small RNA (659 nucleotides) under Pongo abelii (Sumatran orangutan). RNAcentral describes it as "processed transcript". The record is from RNAcentral. Lineage: Eukaryota; Metazoa; Chordata; Mammalia; Primates; Hominidae.